Molecule: long non-coding RNA, 2423 nt
Organism: Felis catus (domestic cat)
Lineage: Eukaryota; Metazoa; Chordata; Mammalia; Carnivora; Felidae
Exons: 3
Source: RefSeq, a predicted model, not a curated record
CACAGGACAUUCCAGCUGUGACUCAUUGCCACUACUGGCGAGCAUUCUGGCUUGGUCCCGCGAAGGAAACCACUCUAGAAAUAGUUUUGAGAGACAAAAUAUGACGGGUGUAGAGAACUUGAGCUGACUCAUGUAAAACACUUCACAGAAAUCAUCCCCGGCAGACCAGAUGGGAAAGCAGUGAAUCAAUGAAUCACUUGUGAAGAGAUGGACGGCCAACAUGAAUCGCUUGCAGCAUGUUGCUAUGACAACCUGCUUCUGUGUGGACCCUGAGGCCAUUCCCAAGUGUGGGAGCUUCGAGUGAAGUAAGCAGACUAAAAUGUUGGCUUUAUCAUUUAUCCUUUGUGAGAAGUGCCAAAUGCAUCAGUGACGCCAGCUGCAGACAGAAAGCAAGAGGAAACUCAAGUGUCUUAAGAGAUGAACCAUUAAUUAUAUCUCAGCCUUGUCUUCGCCUGGACCAGCCCCACUCCCAUCCAAUCAUUGGUCCACUUCUGCUGAUUUUACCUCCUCGGUGCUCUCAAAUCCUUGUAUUACAUUCUCCCUCCUCAGCUUGCAAGGAACUGGUGCCCUCUCUCUCUCUCUCUCUCUCUCUCUCUCUCUCUCUCUCUCGCCUGGGCUGCAGCGACCCCCUCACUGGAUCUCCACAGUUACUUUCACCUCCCUUCCAUUUUCCCUUAAAGCCAGAGUCUUUAAAGGCGCCAAUCUGAGCAGGCCGUUUCAGGCUCACACUCCUGAAAGACCUCUUGCUGCUCCAGGGGAGGUCCCUGAAACUCCUCAUGCCCCCUCAGUGCUGGGCUAUGCUCGCUCGCUCGCUGGCUCGCAGGGUCCCAUCCACCCAGAAGCCCCACACUCAGCCUCAGCCACACCGGACUUCCUUCAGUUCUGACAAGGAUUUUCUCCUGGGCUCGACUCUAGCCAGGCCUCUCCGAACCUUCUUCCUGACUAGGCCUCAACCUUGGCCUACAAAAAAUGAGGACUCUGGGCACACGUGCUUUCAUCCACUCACGCCCCCCAUAUUAAAAGACUUAAACACUAACAUGGUUUCUAACAGCUCAAGGUCACAUCCCCAGGAUGACCCCUGCCCCGCUUAAAGUGUCUGCCUGAGAAAAGCUCAAGGCAACCAGUAGAAGUGAUGGUUUGUUCCAGCCACACCUGAGGCUGGGCCCCUGACCACCCUUUCUUAGAACACUUACUAAAAAGGGCUUAUAGGUGUGGACCCUUCCUCUGUCCCUUUGAGAUGUAUGUGUGCCUCCUAGGACUCAGGAGUACUUUCUCAAGGAUCUGAGAGCCAUGCCUUUGAAGUGUAAUCUUCAGGAAGGAUGGGACCCUGGCUCCCAGUCUGUGUGGGAGGGCAGAAUCCUAACUCCCAUGGCUGCAGCCAACAGCAUGCUGCAGCUGGCCUGGCCACACGGACACGGACUAACCUUUUGUCAUUUCUCACUUCCCUGAGUGUUCGGGCUGCUGCCCCCUCCCAACUCCCUCAUUCUCCCUUUAAAACGUCCAGUCGCCUCCCUACAAAGCGAAGGGAGUGCGGUUCGUGCUGGAUCCCACUGUAGGAGCACAUGACGGAUUAAACUCUACCUUUGCCACUGGAACUCGCGGCUGCCUUAGCUCUGACAGCUCCUCCAACACAACUUCUCUUUUGAACUUGGUAAGUUAUUCUUCCUCGGGGAAGACAAGGAAGGGACACAGUCUAUGUGUCUGAAAUGUAUUUGAAUGACCAGAUGAAUGGAUAUGUGAAUGAAUAAUGCAUAUUUAGGGUGGCUUGAGGACAUACCGCAGCAAAUGCGGAACAAAACAACAACCCCUAUUUGACUGUGUUUAAUUUAGCAUUUCUCAAACUGAUAUUUGUAAAACAUCUAUCGACAUCUGCGGCGGAGAGAGGUAUAAAGGCUUCCCCAAAUCGACUUCCCUUUUGUCUGGGUGCCUGAAUCACCAUGUGCAAGGCAAGGAACACAUGCAUGCUCUCCAACACGACUGAGAAAUAAACUUGUAGUACACGAAGCAUCUGAGAACGUAUAACAACAGCUCGUGUUACCUUAACUAAUCGCAAUAUCACCCGGGCCUGGUGUUUCACAGUCGCAGUACGGAAAAUUGCAUGGCUCAGGCCGCAGACUUAGAAAACACAAGUGUAGGACUUGAAGACCCAGUUUGGGUCCAUUCUUUCGCUUGAAAUGCAUGAUUUUGUAAUUGGAAGAGGACACUGGAGUGUAAUUAACAAUAAUAUAAACAUCUGGUGGACAAGAUGACAUCAGAGAGAGGAUUUGGCAAGAGAUAACAUCAAUCUUAUGAAGACUGGGAAAUGCAUUGGACAGAAGUCACUGACAUAAUCAAGAGGAUUUGAGAAGGGGAAGGACCAGAAGGGUAUACAGAAAUGAGCUGGAGAAAAAAAAAAAAAAAAAAGAAAUGAGCUGGAAGAUGAU